Candidatus Regiella insecticola 5.15 is the source of this 2914-nucleotide ribosomal RNA. It matches the Rfam family "Bacterial large subunit ribosomal RNA". The record is from Rfam. Lineage: Bacteria; Pseudomonadati; Pseudomonadota; Gammaproteobacteria; Enterobacterales; Enterobacteriaceae.
AGUUAAGUAAUGAAGCGUACAGGGCGGAUGCCUAGGCAGUCAGAGGCGAAGAAGGGCGUGCAAAUCUGCGAAAAGCGACGGUGAGCUGAUAGGAAGCGUGAUUAGCCGUUGAUACCCGAAUGGGGAAACCCAGUGCAAGCAGUUGCACUAUCGUUAGAUGAAUAAACUAGUUUAACGAGGCGAACCGGGAGAAGUGAAACAUCUAAGUACCCCGAGGAAAAGAAAUCAACCGAGAUUUCCUGAGUAGCGGCGAGCGAAAGGGAAGCAGCCCAGAGUGUGCAUCGUUAUUGUUAUCAGAGGAAAGGUCUGGAAAGGCCUGCGAAAGAGGGUGAUAGCCCCGUACUCGAAGAUAGCAGUAGUGUGAGCUCGAAGAGUAGGACGGGACACGAGAAAUCCUGUUUGAAGAAGGGGGGCCCAUCCUCCAAGGCUAAAUACUCCUGACUGACCGAUAGUGAACGAGUACCGUGAGGGAAAGGCGAAAAGAACCCCGGUAAGGGGAGUGAAAUAGACCCUGAAACCCUGUACGUACAAGCAGUGGGAGCCUGCUUCAUGCGCGAGUGUGAAGAGGGGGUGACUGCUUACCUUUUGUAUAAUGGGUCAGCGACUUAUAUUCUGUAGCGAGGUUAACCGAGUAGGGGAGCCGUAGGGAAACCGAGUCUUAACUGGGCGAUUAGUUGCAGGGUAUAGACCCGAAACCCGGUGAUCUAGCCAUGCGCAGGCUGAAGGUUGGGUAAAACUAACUGGAGGGCCGAACCGACUCCUGUUGAAAAAGUAGCGGAUGACGUGUGGCUGGGGGUGAAAGGCCAAUCAAACCGGGAGAUAGCUGGUUCUCCCCGAAAGCUAUUUAGGUAGCGCCUCGUGGGUUAAUCUUUGGGGGUAGAGCACUGUUUCGGCUAGGGGGCCAUCCCGGCUUACCACCCCGAUGCAAACUGCGAAUACCGAAGAAUGAGACCACGGGAGACACACGGCGGGUGCUAACGUCCGUCGUGGAAAGGGAAACAACCCAGACCGCCAGCUAAGGUCCCGAAGUGAGGGUUAAGUGGGAAACGAAGUGGGAAGGCGAAAACAGCCAGGAUGUUGGCUUAGAAGCAGCCAUCAUUUAAAGAAAGCGUAAUAGCUCACUGGUCGAGUCGGCCUGCGCGGAAGAUGUAACGGGGCUAAACCCUCCACCGAAGCUGCGGCAGUAGCGUUGGAGACGACGUUAUUGGGUAGGGGAGCGUUCUGUAAGCCGUAGAAGGUGAGCUGAGAGGCGAGCUGGAGGUAUCAGAAGUGCGAAUGCUGACAUAAGUAACGAUAAAGCGGGUGAAAAGCCCGCUCGCCGAAAGACCAAGGGUUCCUGUCCCACGUUAAUCGAGGCAGGGUGAGUCGACCCCUAAGGCGAGGCUGAAAAGCGUAGUCGAUGGGAAACGGGUUAAUAUUCCCGUACUGUUUGUGACUGCGAAGGGGGGACGGAGAAGGCUAGACUAUCCGGGUGACGGUAAUCCCGGUUUAAGCGUGUAGGUGGGAGGAGUAGGCAAAUCCGCUUUUCCAUAAACACUGAGGCGUGAUGACGAGGCACUUGAGUGCCAUAAGUAGUUGAUGCCCGGCUUCCAGGAAAAGCCUCUAAGCUUAGGUUACAAACAAUCGUACCCGAAACCGACACAGGUGGUCAGGUAGAGCAUACUAAGGCGCUUGAGAGAACUCGGGUGAAGGAACUAGGCAAAAUGGUGCCGUAACUUCGGGAGAAGGCACGCUGGCAUUAGGUGAGGGGACUUGCUCCCUGUAGCUGAAGUCAGUCGCAGAGACCAGCUGGCUGCAACUGUUUAUUAAAAACACAGCACUGUGCAAACACGUAAGUGGAGGUAUACGGUGUGACGCCUGCCCGGUGCCGGAAGGUUAAUUGAUGGGGUAAGUAGCAAUACGAAGCUCUUGAUCGAAGCCCCGGUAAACGGCGGCCGUAACUAUAACGGUCCUAAGGUAGCGAAAUUCCUUGUCGGGUAAGUUCCGACCUGCACGAAUGGCGUAAUGAUGGCCAGGCUGUCUCCACCCGAGACUCAGUGAAAUUGAAAUGGCUGUGAAGAUGCAGUGUACCCGCGGCAAGACGGAAAGACCCCGUGAACCUUUACUAUAGCUUGACACUGGGAGUUGAAACUGACUGUGUAGGAUAGGUGGGAGACGUAGAAGCGAUGACGCCAGUUGUUGUGGAGUCGCCGUUGAAAUACCACCCUGUGAGUUUUGGUUUUCUAACUCAGCGCCGUGAGCCGGUGCGAGGACAGUGUCUGGUGGGUAGUUUGACUGGGGCGGUCUCCUCCUAAAGCGUAACGGAGGAGCACGAAGGUUAGCUAAUCACGGUCGGACAUCGUGAGGUUAGUGCAAAGGCAUAAGCUAGCUUGACUGCGAGAGUGACGGCUCGAGCAGGUACGAAAGUAGGUCUUAGUGAUCCGGUGGUUCUGAAUGGAAGGGCCAUCGCUCAACGGAUAAAAGGUACUCCGGGGAUAACAGGCUGAUACCGCCCAAGAGUUCAUAUCGACGGCGGUGUUUGGCACCUCGAUGUCGGCUCAUCACAUCCUGGGGCUGAAGUAGGUCCCAAGGGUAUGGCUGUUCGCCAUUUAAAGUGGUACGCGAGCUGGGUUUAGAACGUCGUGAGACAGUUCGGUCCCUAUCUGCCGUGGGCGUAGGAAGAUUGAGGGGGGCUGCUCCUAGUACGAGAGGACCGGAGUGGACGCAUCACUGGUGUUUGGGUUGUCAUGCCAAUGGCAUUGCCCGGUAGCUACAUGCGGAAGAGAUAACCGCUGAAAGCAUCUAAGCGGGAAACUUGCCCCGAGAUGAGUCUUCCCUUGAGGGACGUUUAAGACUAAGACAUUGAUAGGCUGGGUGUGUAAGUGUGGUGACACAUUGAGCUGACCAGUACUAAUGACCCGAUAGGCUUAACUUC